This 1379-nucleotide ribosomal RNA is filed under the name Vibrio parahaemolyticus. Its description in RNAcentral is "partial 23S ribosomal RNA". It matches the Rfam family "Bacterial large subunit ribosomal RNA", at positions 1570 to 2925 of the family's 2925-position model. Lineage: Bacteria; Pseudomonadati; Pseudomonadota; Gammaproteobacteria; Vibrionales; Vibrionaceae. The record is from RNAcentral.
CGAGCACCUACGGGUGUGAAGUCAUUGAUGCCAUGCUUCCAGGAAAAGCCUCUAAGCUUCAGAUUGUAAGGAAUCGUACCCCAAACCGACACAGGUGGUCGGGUAGAGAAUACCAAGGCGCUUGAGAGAACUCGGGUGAAGGAACUAGGCAAAAUGGUACCGUAACUUCGGGAGAAGGUACGCUCUUGAUGGUGAAGUCCCUUGCGGAUGGAGCUGACGAGAGUCGCAGAUACCAGGUGGCUGCAACUGUUUAUUAAAAACACAGCACUGUGCAAAAUCGUAAGAUGACGUAUACGGUGUGACGCCUGCCCGGUGCCGGAAGGUUAAUUGAUGGGGUUAGACUUCGGUCGAAGCUCUUGAUCGAAGCCCCGGUAAACGGCGGCCGUAACUAUAACGGUCCUAAGGUAGCGAAAUUCCUUGUCGGGUAAGUUCCGACCUGCACGAAUGGCGUAAUGAUGGCCACGCUGUCUCCACCCGAGACUCAGUGAAAUUGAAAUCGCUGUGAAGAUGCAGUGUACCCGCGGCUAGACGGAAAGACCCCGUGAACCUUUACUACAGCUUGGCACUGAACAUUGACCCUACAUGUGUAGGAUAGGUGGGAGGCUUUGAAGCACGUACGCCAGUAUGUGUGGAGCCGUCCUUGAAAUACCACCCUUGUAGUGUUGAUGUUCUAACGUCGACCCCUAAUCGGGGUUGCGGACAGUGCCUGGUGGGUAGUUUGACUGGGGCGGUCUCCUCCCAAAGAGUAACGGAGGAGCACGAAGGUGGGCUAAUCACGGUUGGACAUCGUGAGGUUAGUGCAAUGGCAUAAGCCCGCUUGACUGCGAGAAUGACAAUUCGAGCAGGUGCGAAAGCAGGUCAUAGUGAUCCGGUGGUUCUGAAUGGAAGGGCCAUCGCUCAACGGAUAAAAGGUACUCCGGGGAUAACAGGCUGAUACCGCCCAAGAGUUCAUAUCGACGGCGGUGUUUGGCACCUCGAUGUCGGCUCAUCACAUCCUGGGGCUGAAGUCGGUCCCAAGGGUAUGGCUGUUCGCCAUUUAAAGUGGUACGCGAGCUGGGUUUAGAACGUCGUGAGACAGUUCGGUCCCUAUCUGCCGUGGGCGUUGGAAGAUUGAAGGGGGCUGCUCCUAGUACGAGAGGACCGGAGUGGACGAACCUCUGGUGUUCGGGUUGUGUCGCCAGACGCAUUGCCCGGUAGCUAAGUUCGGAAUCGAUAACCGCUGAAAGCAUCUAAGCGGGAAGCGAGCCCUGAGAUGAGUCUUCCCUGAUACUUUAAGUAUCCUAAAGGGUUGUCGGAGACUACGACGUUGAUAGGUCAGGUGUGUAAGUGCUGUGAGGCAUUGAGCUAACUGAUACUAAUUGCCCGUGAGGCUUAACCAU